Molecule: long non-coding RNA, 1143 nt
Organism: Cygnus olor (mute swan)
Lineage: Eukaryota; Metazoa; Chordata; Aves; Anseriformes; Anatidae
Exons: 4
Source: RefSeq, a predicted model, not a curated record
GGGAGCUGUUUCCUUUUGACCCCUUAACUCCUGUUUACAGAGACACUCAGGGAUGUGGAGGAGCUGGGUUUACAUCCUUACUCCAGAUCAGGCAGAACAGAGAUUUGGGCACAGGUUUGCCCCACUCUGCAUUUGGAGGUGCAGAGCUACCUAAACCACAGGUUUGCUGCUCCUCAUCUCAGUCCUGAGUCCCUUUGAACACCCCAGGCACUGUCUCCCUGCCAGUCUGUCUUGCUGUGUGGCACAGGGACACAGAUUCUUCCUCCUCCUCCUCGCCUCCGCUCCUACACCCAGAGCACAACUUUCUCAUGAGGCUGCAGUGACCAGCACAGCGCCGUCUGUCAUCACACAAACAAGCAGGGCACCGGCUGUUUUUACCUGUGACCAACAAAGUGUUUUUAACCUACGUCUCAGAAGCCAGCAAGACACUCCCAAUCUGCCAAUCAGCCCAUAAUACCUCAUACCUACCAGGCUAGUUUUACUUUCUUCUUUGCCCAGCUUCCCUUUUGAAGGUACUACAAACGCAAGUGAAAUGCCUUGAGAACACACGGGGGAAGCCAGAGCAGCAGCCGGCAGAGGCAGCAUGAACCCUGCUACAAGCCCGUGCAUUCAGGUACCGCGGCGUCUGGGGUCCACAAGGGGGUGAAGGAGGUCUCAGGUCGCACCGCAUCCUGCCUUGCAGAAAGCCAGCUUUCCAGGAGGCACCAGGGAGAAGAAGGAGGGAUCUGCUGAGGAGCCAUGGCACGACCCAUGCCAAAACAUCACCAUGGACACAAAAGAUGAGGAGCAACUCCCAACACAAACCCAGAGGGGUGCCUGGGGCCAGGAUGUGACGCGUGGUAACAGCCUGCAGAAACACCCGCCUGUCUGUCUGCAGAAAUAGCCCGAGCAGGGGGCUGUCUCCUGAGUCACGCUGGAGAAAGCGGUGAGCUGGCUGGAGGCGACCCAAAACCCCUGAGUUUCGCAGAGACCGGCGGGGAAAAGCAUUGCUCCUCGUCCCGCGCAGCCUGAUCUGCUGCCGGCUGCCCCGUGCUCUGCUCACACUCGUGAGAUGUGUCUUGUGCUUUCCUGCACAGGGAUUUACUGAUGUCGGCAACUCGUGGAAAGCCACCGGAUAUUAAAAAAAAAAAAAAGGCACCGGGA